GGCCGCCCGCCCCGGCUCGCCCUCGCCGCCCGCCCGGCCCGGCCCCGCGGCUGGAUCCCGGCUCGGCGGGGCGCGCUCACCUCGCGAUCGGCCGCCGCCGCCCGGGCUCCGCGUGCAGGGCGCGCGCGGCUCCUUCCGGGGCGCCGCGUCCCCUCCCAGAGCCACCCGGGCACCCUGGCCCGCCCCUGCCGCCCGGCGGGCGCCGGGACCAGCCCCGCAGCCUCGCAGGUCCCCGCUGAAGCACCCGGGGUGCCCCUCCUGACGCCCAGGUCUGCCCCGAGGGCCCCAUCCCGUGCGCAGUACGUGGCCGGCAGCUGCCUGAGAGUGGGCCAGGUAAGCAAGGCAGGGCGCGGGGACCCAGCCCCUGCUUGGCCGGAGGCCCUGCCCCGGGGGAGAACGGAGCACCCUGAGCCCAGAGUGUCACCCCGGAGUCUGGGAGGCUCUGCGGCCCUCCACCCCUGGUGCGGAUGGGGAGGGCCACCUCCAGGGCCUCGGGUCGCAGGUCGCCUUGGCCUGCACCCCCAGGAUUGAGAGAGAGGUCGGAAGGGACAGUCGCCAGCAGAGGCCCAGCUAAGGCCUCUGCUCCCAACCCACUCAGGCAUCCCAGCGGGGCUCCGUCAGGACGUCAGACGUGGUCAGAGGUGGUCCCCAAGACGCCCCCGAGAGCACACUUCAGAGAGGCCAAUACGCUGAGGGAGGCAGAGGAGGCCGCAGGUGCAGAAGGGGAGGGGAGCAGGGUCUGAUGUGACCCCCUGGAGGAGGAGACCCCGCUGCAGGAGAAGGGGUGCUCUAGGAGGAGGGAACCCCACGCCUUUAGGAUAGGGAGUUCUGUGCCCUCAGAGAGGAGGGAGAAGUGAGGAGCCCUGGGAGGUUUGAGCUGGAGUGGGACUCAGUCAGGUCAUCCUUUGAGAGCUUGCUCUGGCGUCCUGGGGAAGGGAGCCGUCCGGGCUGGGAAGGGGGCAGACACUUCUGCCUCCUUGUCUUUGUACUCCAUUUUUCUGGUCCCAUGCUCUGCAGAGCACCCCAAAUUCUCCCUAGGAGCACCUUUCUCUCCCAAGGCUGCAGGCUGCAUGAGCAUCACAACCUUGAAGGAGUUGAUGGGGGAAAGGCUGGCCUUGGUGUUCCUGGGUGCCUGUCAAGGACAAAGCUGGACCCUGGACCCUGGCCUUUGACAUCCCAAAAGACAUGAUUAUUCUUCUGGUCCCUGGGAUGACAGCAGAGAAUUUCCUGUGACUCUAAUCCUCCAAGGCUGGCUUCAUCUCCACCUUGGUUCUAAGCAGAACUCCCCUCAGCUCCCAGGCGCCAUCUCUUGCCACCCCCUGGAUAUGCAUUUAUUAAGCACCUCCUGUAUGCCUGGCGCUCCACGACCGUUGGACCAGAGCAUGAGUCCCCCCACCUGCUGUUACUUAUACUUUCCAGUUCCAGGCAAUGAAUGCAGAGCCUUAGGGUCCCCAAACUUCCCCUGGUCCAGGCUGCACCCCAGAGGUCAGACUCCUGGGAGUCCACUGCUGUAUCCACAGGCUCGGGAGAUACCCAGUGGCUGGCUCCGAAAGACUAGGGAAUGAGUGUGCAGGACAGACCCGCUCCUAAAAGAGCAACCGAUCUGGCAACCACAGCAGACAUGCUGCUUUGGGGAAAAUUUAAUAACAGUGGCACUCGUUGGUGGAGGCGAACAGAAACAUUGCACGGUCCCACACUGCUCAGCCAGCCGGGUGGCUCGCCCGGCUGGGAAGCGUUUCCCAGGCGCCCACUGUGUGCCGCAGGCCAGGGUUAGAGCCAGCGUCACAGCCCAGGGUGGCUCCGAGGCACGGUGUGUGGGACUUUACAGCAAGGGUAAGCAAGAGAGGGGAGCCCAGCCGGUGCCAAGGCCUUCUAAAAUCACAGGUGCCCAGGUAGCCCGUCACGUGGCCCAGAUGCGAUGGCUGGGAAAAUGAUGUCCGCUCUCUGACCAUGUCUAAGGCGCGUGAGAGGCUUACGCCAGAGGUCGGGCAUAAAAACUAGAGAGGGAAGAAAGGAGGGAAUGCCAGGAAGGAAGCACAGAUGAACAUCAGACUCGCUGAUGAUGAUGGGUGUGGUUGUGUUUGGGGUUUUUUUAAUUUGUUUUUGCUUUUUGAGACAGGGUCUCUACGAAGUUCAGGCUGGCCUUGAGCUCACUUUGGAGCCCAGGCUGGUUUCAAACUUGCAACGAUCCUCCUGCCUUAGCCUCCUGAGUGCUGGGAUGACAGGUGUGCGCCACCACACCUGGCUUCAGUUUUUUUUUAUGGGACUACUUUUCUCCAAUUUUACUGUGAUGAUCAGAAACAGAGUGAAGAAUGGAGAGUGGGGGCUUUCUGGAAGGGUUAGGAGCAGGAUACGUGGCCCAUAUCGGGCAGGGGCUGGAGGCGCAAGCAAGGCCUAGGCCGGAGGGCUUCUGUUGCCACGCCCACAGUGGGCCGGCCCACAUGGCCUUGAGUCCUCUUGGGUGACCGGUCUGCAGAUGGCAUGCCACGUGCGCUGUGCCAGGCCCCGACAAUCACCCUAGCAGAGGCAUUCAGGGGAGGCACAAAUCAGCGGAGGAGGGGGGAUGGGAGGGGCUCCCAGGAGGAGGGCACCCAAGAUGGGGUUUUGGGGACUGAGCCUGGUUUCCGGUCCCCAGCUCUGCCCCUUAGAUCUUUCCAAAGCCUCCGUCUAGAGAUCCUGACAUAGUCCAAAGGCUGGGGGUCUCCAUUGCGGGUCCUGGACCCUUCUAUAAGCCCAAUCCAAAUGGUCCCAGGCCUGGCCACCGGGUGCUGCCUCUGUCACAUGUGGCUGUGACUCUGAACGUCGGCCUCUCCUUCUGUACAGUUGAUGUAUGGAGUGACCUCUGGCUCGAGGUCACUGUUGGCAUCCAGUGAAUCAUCAACUGUCAAUAGCAAAUUCAGGACCCAGAUUCCAGCCCAGUUCUAUCCCUGACUUACUUAGGAUUUCGGGACCCAGGCCUGUUUCUCUGGGCCUCGGUUUCCCCAUCUUGAAAGGUGACGUAGCAACUCACUCCCGGACUCGCUCACAGAUGGCCGAUGGUGGGGAGAGGCCUCAGGAGCCCCCUCCUCCUGCUCCUCCCCGGGCUGCAGUUCCAGCCCGGCUGGUGUCCAGGCACACUUCCCCGUAUAACGCCAGGCCAGUCACCCAGGAGAGGCUGAAGGGAGGCCCAGCCAGACAGGGCAGCCCCCUACACCUCCCAGCCCCAGACAACUGUACCUGCCCUCCCUGCCUCGGGUCCCACUCCGGCUCCAGCUGCCCUGGGCUGCCAGGACUGGGCCUCGGCUUGUUGCAUACUGCCUGCGAGCACUUUAUAGUGUCAGGGAAUCUUUCCGGGUGCUUUAUAUCUGAGACCUCACACAGGCGACCUUCCCUGCAAAGGGAGACCACACAGAGGGAAAAAAAUGAUUGGUGGGGGAGGGGAGACAAGAAGCCUCAGUUUACAAAUCGCAAACCUCAAGGAGCCAGAGGUUUUAGGACCUGCCCAGCUGGUGUACAGGAAAGGUGGGGCCGGAGGGCCAGGUUCAGAGCCAGGACAUGCGCCGUGCCCUCCCCCAGCUCCAGGGCAGUGCCUCCCAGCUGGCAAAGGCUCCCAGUGCAUCUCAAAUCCCGGGGUGCCUGAUACCCAGCUGGCCAGGCUCCCAGCGGCCCAGUGAGCUGUCCAGGGUCCUGGCCAGGCCCAGUGCCGCCCCACAGCCUUCUGGGAUCUUUCCUGGCUCCCAAGGCCUGGUGCAGCCCGGAGGGUCCGUGGUCAAGUUUAUAGGUGUCUCUCUGAGCCCAUUCUGCUGGGCCAGGCUCAGCCAGGGCCCUGGGGCACUGUGAGCUGGGCCUGCUCUAGAGCAAGGACAGUGCAGGACGUGGGAACAAACUAACAGUGACCCUGCACCGCACAGCAGUGAGAGAUCCAGGCUGGACACAGACCUCCCGUCUUGCCUGAGGGCAGAAGAGGGGGCCCCAGGGGAUCCCAUGACAAGAAUGAAAAAAGGUGUGGGCUGGAGUCAGAGAUGUGGGGAUGAUGCAGGGUCCGGGCCAGGCAGGGACAGAAGGAGGGCAAGAGACCCCAGAGACGCCCUAUGGCCUCCAAGACCAUAGCUAGGACAACAGGUGCUGACCCUAGCCGAGCACUGUCUGGCCCCAGACUGCCCUGUGCCUGUGAACUGUAUCUCCCACUCCCCACUCUUGUCCCUACUGCUGCUCGGUGUGGGACCAAGGACACGAGAGUGACGCAGUCACAGGAGCUGCCUGGUCCAGGACCGGCCACCAUGGUGCCACCUCUGAAAGGCCAGCUGCCCGCAGCAGGUGCUGACGGGGUCAUGUGACUGGGGUCCAGGGUGACGCUGGAGACCCCUGUGGGCAAGGAGGCCUCGGAAAAGGCUCCUGGGCCGGGGCUGGGACAGGAGAGAGGAUGCCCAGCACUGGACACCCGGGGCCCCAGACUGAUGCCCUGCCCCAUACAGAGAGGCCUCUUUGGGGCUGGACACAGGCCUGGGCCUGGAGUCGGAGCAUGAAGGCAGCAGACAGCAGUUCUGGGGUGGGCACAGCCCCCUCCCGGGCACUGGCUCCAAGAACAGUGAUAAUCUCCACGCCUGCCUCCCACUCUCACCCCUGUGUCCCACAGCACCCCAAGUCCUGUCCACCAGCCCAGUCCCUCCGCCCGGCCUCCACUUCUGAUGGCCCCGCCCAGCGGUGGGGCUGCCCCUCCCCUGCCUGGGGCCCUUACUGGCUUCCCACUGCUCUGCAGCUUAUGUCCUGUUGAAGGAUACACCACCUGCCCAGGCCACCAACCCCUCCUGCUGUGCCGGGGACAGCUGCUGCUCAGCCCAUGGCCAGCAGUGGGGUCUAGUCUGCACCAGGGGCAGCCAGGCAGGCCUAGAUAGUGCAGCCCGGGCCUCCUGCAGCAGAGACACCAUCCAGAGCCCUGUUCACCCACUCCCCCCACACACACACCCUUCCCCUGGGAGAGGUGUGCACAGCCUGCGGAGUCACAGGCCCUGGCCUGCCACGUGUCCCAUGCGAGGUGCAGGAGCUCUUGCCUCACCUGCAAAAUGAGAGCAAAGACACCUACCUUGCAUGAUUGUGCUGGCAGACAGGACAAGGACUCUGUGACUGCCAGCCAGCACCGUGCACAGAGGACCCAGGUGUACACUGAGCAAGAAAGAACCCACUGUCGUGUGUCCUGCUGGGUAUGGCAGCCAUUGACACCCUCGUCAGAAUCAUCAGCCAGAGCUGGGAGGGACCUCAGGGUUCUUAUGCUCCAUGACACCUUAUUCCCCCCUGCACAAAGAGGGAAACUGAGGCCUAGAUUGAGGAAGAAACGGAGAGAGAAUACUCAGUCCCCAAGCCAGGGGGAAGAAUAAAUGACUCCUGAGAUCAGAGCACGGGGCACAGAGCUGAAAGGGAGACAGCCGUGUUCUCUCGCCCAGAUUAUCAGUGGCCCACCAGUAGCAGCCCAGAGGCCCCAGGUACGCCGAACCAGCUCGUUUGUGUGUGUGUGUGUUUGUUUCUUGUCUUUUUGACAUAGGAUCUCGAUACCCACAGUUCAGGCAGGCCUUGUGCUCACUUGAGAGCCCAGGCUGCUGUUGAACAUGGAACGAUCCUCCUGCCUCGGCCUCCUGCCUCGGCCUCCGAGUGCUGGGAUUACAGGAAUGUGCCACUGUGCCCUGUUGUUGUUGUUGUUUAGGUUUUUUUUAGUGUUUUCAGCAAUGCCACACCUCUCAGAUGAGAGCCGGGGUCAGAGUCAUGGAGAGCGUGCACAAAGCACACACUGCACCCCGCCAAACCCCCAUAAUCCGACCUCCCCACACAGCGAGGGGGAGAAGUGCACGCACGGCCCAGUGCCCGGCCUUCACCCCAUGGGACAUACACCACGCACUCAGCCUCCCCUACCCUGCCCCAUUCUGCAUACACCCCUGCCUGGGUCCCUUGAGCUGGCACUGCCCGCAGAUCACGGCUUUGCCCCUCCUCACCCCACGAAAGGUAGCACAACCAUCCCCAGGGUGCUAGUGACGGACACACUGGGCCUGGAGGGAGGACGUGCCCCAGGCAGCUCCUGAGGUCCAGGGCAGGGCUGGAGUGGCACCCUCUAUGACACUGCUCUGUCCCCUGGCUCUAGGGCUGCUGCUGCCUGGACCAGAAGGCAGAACCCAGGCAAGGGCCACAGGGAAACUGCCCAGGCUGGGCUGUGCGAGUGUAGCUCAGUGGUAGAGCACUUGCCAAGGAAGUUCGAGGUGCUGAGUUCCAGUCUCCAGCACUGCCAGGAAUAAUAGUAAUGAAACCAAGAAACCACAGGCACCAUUGCCUGUGGGCGCAUGGCAGACAGCACCAGUGGAUCCCAGUGCUCUCUUGUGCUCUCCUGGGAUACAGCGUGAGAAUCUGCACAGGCUCCCGGCAGCCACUUGAGGGGCCUUGGGAAGGGUGCCCAUGGGUCACUCCUGGCUAAAUCUGGGUUCUCUGGGAGCUUUUGUUCCUUUCUUUCUUGCAAUGCUGGGGCUCAAAUUCAGAGCCUCGUGCAUGCUGGGCAAAUGCCCCACCCCCAGCCCCCAGCCCUCUUCCCUCUGGUAUUAUUCAGCAGGAGCAAACCCACGAGCUGGGCUAUCCUCUCAGAGCCAGAGGACCUUUGAGAACCUCAGCAUAGAGCUGUGUAGCAAGCCACACCCAGGCCAGGCCUGAGGUUAAGAGUCUGGAGCCCUAAAAACUCACUGCCAAGCCAGUGUCUCCCCUGAAUGACCCGCUGAGCUCAACCCACCACAGAAACUCGCCCAAGCCCAAGCCCCAAGCUGCAGCCCUUCUGAAAGCUUCCUGCCCCUCUGCCCACACAGGGCUCCACUCUACAUCCUCAGGGGCUCCUGCGACACCUGCAUUUACAAGGUGUGGCCAGAAGUACAGUGAAGGUCACACCAUGUUUAAAUGUACUACAAUGAGACACACUGCCCUGAAUCCCACUCGUCCCGCGGUGCUGGCCGCUUCCGAAGCAGUUCGGGAGGUGCUCUUCCGUGAGUGUCUCUAGUUGCACUGUCGUGGCCGCCUGAGGUUCUCACCUGAUUCACAACUUGGACCUUUCGUGGUCAUUUUGACUUUGGGGAGGAACCAGGCGUCCCCGGUUUUGGAUCUGGUGAAUAGGCCAGGCAAGGACACUUGGGGCCCAGCUGCGGCUGCUCUGUGUGGUUUUUUUUUUUUUUUUUUGUUCACAUGCUCAGGAUGCUUGGGAACAAGGACCUCAGAGUUGCUUCAAAUGCCGAGCUGGCUGGCCUGAGCGCCUCGGAAGCGAGAGGGAGGAACCUGAGGGGUAUUCACGACGACGCCUGUUACCGAAUCAAUAUUUUUAAAUGUCCACAUUCACCGUCUAUUUGAUCACACUGCAGAAACCUGCCUCUGUCCCACCCACAUCACCAGCAGUUUCUCUUCCACCUUCCCAGCCACGUCUCCUAAAGCAGGGGUCCCAGGCCCCCAGAACCUGGCCCCUGACCCGUCAGGAACCAGGUCGCACAGCGGGAUCAGGGCUUCCCGUGUUCAGGGCCGCUGAGCUCGGCCUGCGGGCAGGGGAGCAGCCGCGCAUGCGCGCUCCUGUGAGUCCGGAAAACAUCCCCAGGCCCUGUCCCAGCCUGGAAAGACCGUCUUCCGUGAAAUCAGUCCCUGGUGCCAAAGGUUGGAGACUGCUGUCCUGUGGCAGCCGUGUACUCCCUCCCUAGUGCUUCCCAGCCUCCUUGGGCCACAGCUGGGUCACCCAUAGCACCCUGGUUCCAGGACAGUUGACAUGGCCCUCAUUCUGCUCCUCUCUGGCCACACAGGCUGCGCCCUUGCACUCAGGACACAAUCCAGGCUCCUAGCUGUGGCCCUCGGAUCUCCUGUUCUGGUCCCCGAGCCCCAGCCCAGCCCCAUGCCUUGCUCCUCCACCCUAAGGUCAGGUACACUGACCACCGUCCCCACCAGCUCUGGCCAUUGCUUAUCUGGAUGAUGCACUGGACAUUGUGCCAGCCUCCAGCAACCACCUGUCCUGCCUCUAAAACUGUCUAUUGAACACUCACUGUGUUCAAUAUCUGCUUUGCUGUCACUGGAACAGAAUAUUUGACACCCACAAUGGAAAGGAGCGAGGUCUAAUUUGGCUCACAGUUUGGGGAGUUCAGUCCAUGGUUGGCCAGCUCCAAGGCAGAAACAGCAUGGUGCAAGAGUGGGGAAGGGAAAAAACUACUCAUGUCAUGGCCGCCAGGAAGGAGAGAGAAAAGGGAGAAGCUGGGGACAAGAACACCUCCUUCCUGGUCAUGUCCUCAGUGGCCACCUCCAAGCAGGCCCCCUCCUUCACAGCACAGUCAGCCACGAGCCCAGCCAUGGAUGAAUCCACGAUGACAGCAGCAGGCUCUUGAUGCAGUCACCUCCCAAAGCCCCACAUCUGAGACUUCUGAGGGAUGUUUUACACCUACUGUGUGUCACACACUGCUCAGAGCGCUGGGGACCCAGCACUGAAUGGUGGCAAAGCUACUACUGUCCCGGGAUGUGGCUUGGCUGGAUGUGACUCAGAGAGGCCACAUGACCUCACGGGUGCACACAGGCAGGACACAGCCUCCCCCUCCUGCUCACUAUCCCCAGGGCCUCCCCCGUGAUUCACCUACCAAGAACCCCGCCCACCCCACCCCCCACCCUUGGGGCUUCCUGCUCUUCCCUGGCAGCACCCCCAUCCCCCAGCACCCAGCUACCAGCCUGGCUGCUGCCUCUCUGGAACAGUGCCCUCUGCGGGAAAGCUCCUCAGGCUAGGGCCAGGGUGCUUGCAGGGCACCCACCGAUGCCCAGCCCAUGGCCUGGGUGAGCCUUUAACAGCCAUGGAGCUGGGGGCAGAGCAUGGGAUUUCCUCUGACUCACUCUCAUCUACUUGCCUGAGCUGCCAUGUGGCAUGGGCACCGGCUGGCUCUUCAUAUGCUGCACGUGGCCCCUGAUGGCUCCAAUUCUGAUUCUGAGUCCCCAGGGACAGCUGAGGGCUGGGUGGACAAACGUCAGCCACAGAGAUGCAGUGGUUCACGGUACUCUGCCCGUGGCCUGGGCAGGGAGGAAGGAUGAGGCGAGGGGUCACCAGGCCAGGGUUGCCACCGGCCAAGCCCCCUUUCUGCCUCUGAGCCUUCACUUCCUCUCUGCUAGGACCAAUUCUGGUUCUUCAUGUUUGGACCCGAGCCCACAGGCCCUUCCCACCGCCCCCCACCAAGGGCUGUCGGGGUAGGGGCCCUCACUGUCUGCCACUUAGGGCUUCGAUGGGGAAACGCAGGCAGCCCCAGAACAGACAGUGCCAAGUGGGGCAGCUGGGCGGUGACCCCUGGAGGGGAACCUGUACGCCAUGGCCUCAGCCCGCAGCAAGGGGAAAGAGCUGCGGGGCUGGAACCACAGCAGAAGAGCCGGACGAUGAACUCCAAGAAAAGAAGAGGACGUAAGAAGGGGAGCCAGGUAGGGCAGUGCACGCCUGGAAUCGCCCCAGCACUGUGGGAGGCUGAGUCAGGAGCAUGGAAGGUUCAAGAAAGCCUGGGCAAGCCAACCUAAUGGGUUAGCAAGACCCUAUCUCAAAAAAGAAAAAUAAAAACAGGUCUGGAGAUGAGGCUCAGUGCAAAGGUGCUGGGUAACACGGCCCGGGUAACACAGGCACGCGCCUACAGAAGAGAUGACUGAGGUGAUCUCUCCAGACUCCUGGAUCUGUCUUGCUGCUGUGGAAUCACAAGCAAGAAUCUCAUUGGGUGGAACUUGGGUCACGUGUCCAGGCUGGACCAAUCAUCUCAUGCAGGGGCGGAAGUAACACACGAUAAAUAAAACUCCCGCCCUUCCCAGUGUCCCCUAGUGGAGCUCCUGUUCCCCCGGAAUCAGACUGAACUCAGAGGACGGGAAGUGAGGAGCCCGAGUCUUACUGGGGGAGAGACGGCCCCUGUCCCUAACAGGAGGGGACCCAGAAAGCAGGCUGCCAGGACCCCACUCUCAGGGGAAGCUUUGUAGAGCAAAAUGAUGAGGCAGGUACAGCGUGGGACAGAACCACAUCAACCAAUCAGAUCAGGAGCUCAGCCGCCCGCGUGACGCCGAUUGGGUGGGGUACGGGGGUGGGGCGUGCUUGGGGGAGGUGACAUCGGCCUGGAAUACCGAUCCUCAGUGGAGGUGUGAUCCUUGCAGCUUCAUCCUGAGGCCUCGGGCAGAGGCACCCCCAGCCACAGCCACGCGGAGUCCUGGGCCUCUGCCCUGAUUCCUCCUGGCCCCGCGUGGCUGCCUAGAAUAUUCCUACCGGUAGAAUCACAUAAGGCACUGCUAGCCCGGCCAGCGGGCACGGGGCGGCAGUAUACACUAGGAGCUUAAUUAAUGUCCACGUGGCUAAAGCCUCACUGAUCGAACUCACGCAUGGUAGGAAAGAUGCCGGUUCCCACUCACGAGCCUUCUGCCUCUGUCCUGCGCACUCCUUUCCAAAGCCCCGGCCACAGUGUUUGCCGAUUGCCAUGAUGUAGACACCUGCCCUGCAGCAGGCUCAUACCACCGAGCUGUGGGCACAGCAGCAAGAGCCGUGUUCAUGCAACGUCAUCAGCUAAUCGCCACCGAAGGUCCCUAGACCCCGUUUCCUUUCCCACCGCCCACCCCUGCUCCCUCUCCUCAGCCACCAGACACCCUCCCAUCACUCCAGCCACAAGUCUCGGCCUCACCACCACACCAGCAGUGUGCAUGCCUCAGGGCCUUUGCACUUGCUGUGUGUGCUCUUCAGAAAACCACUCUGGCCACCUUCAGAUCGCCACCCUCUACCCUCCCCUGCCUCUCCUGGUUUUCAGGGGACUCAAAGGUGUGACACACACACUUGUGCAUCUGUGCACAGAUUUGUGGUCACCAUGCCUCCCCAGAGGUUCCUAUACUGAUGGUGACCUCGUCCACUAAGUGCUGCCAUGUCCCCCAGCACAUAGUGGGUGCCCGUCCCACCUGACAGCCCCACUGGGCACCCAGCCCCACCCCUGCUGGCUUGCCCUCAGCAGCGCUCCCUGGCAGAGCCCCCCUGGCACGGCCCCUCCGCCCGGCCUCCUCUCCUCCUCCUCUGGGAGGAAAGGCGCCGGCCCAUUGUGCGGCCCUGUUGACACGGGGAUGACCUCACCGGGCCCCAAGGGUGGGGGCGCCGGGCCAGGUUGGGAACGGCUGCGAGGCUGAGGCCCAGGACAAAGGCCGGAGGCCAGUGUGAGGCGGAGACAAGGGCGCUUUUCAUGAGGGGAAUAAUUGCAGGAGGGUUAAUCCCUAGGAGAGGUCCCCAGGACGCCAGGGGACAGGGGCCGCCCGGUGCUGGAGGGGAUUUGGGGGGCCGGGGCCUGCGGCUCCCUAGCCCUGCAUUUGCAUCUUUGUUCUUGUCCAUGAAAUGGGCAGAGUCAGCACCGGGCAGAGCUUGGGACCCUGGCGGGGGCUGAGCCAGGCAUCGGGCAGGGAGCGCUCAGCAGGGCUCCGUGUGAGCAUCUCCCUGCCCUGCCGGCUUCCGGCUGCCACCAACCAGGGCUCAGCAGGGCCCUGGCUGAGCCUGGCACUGCUUCUGCCGCCUGCUCAGGCUGGUGGGCCUGGGAGUCCCAAGCUGUCACACAUCAGCCCAGGGGCCACGGUGCCUGAAUGGGUCUGUGUGCCCCCACCCCCGUCCAACCCAAGGAGAAGAGAGCCGGGUCUGCUCUUCCCUGGGCAGGGGACAAUCACUGGAACAGGGCAGCUUCCGAUGGAGGCGACAGCCCCUGCAAACCUGGAGAAGCCCAGGCUGAAGGGGACAGAGCAGGGUCACACCACACAGGACCAUGGGUGACAGCCAGGCCUUCCAGUGCCUGUGCACCAAUCGCUGGUUUUCCACCCAAAAUUCUGUCAGUGCUGUGUCGUCUUCAGGGCCAGCAGUCCCCGGAUGCAAGCGCCUCUGCUACCCCCGCCCCUCGGCCUGGCUCCUACCAAGUGUGACCUCUAGUUGGGGUGCAGCACGGGUAGAGAAUUUCUAGCAUGCUGGGUUCCACUCCCAGCUCCUCAAGGAAAAAAUUGAAUACUGGCAUUGCUAUUUCCUUCCCCAAAGAGGAGAAUGGGGAUCCCUCCUGAGCUUCCUGGGGGACAUUUGCACUGAGGAUUUUGUCCCCUGCCAGUGUCCAGCCAGGCCUCAGCGCAUCAUGCCUCCAGACCUGGGGGCUUCCCCUUGGCCGUGGGUCUCAGCCCCCAGCAAUUUCCCAGAGGCAGGCACCCAAGCCAGGUAGCAAGGUUCGCUUCUCUCACCAACCCAAGUGAAGAGUUUCCGGGGCAGGUCCAAAGGGAAGAGGACAGGGGCCGGGCUGACUCCUGCUGGGCGAGAACCCUCCUACCCCGAGGAUGGGGUGCAGGGCAGGGCCCAGUGGCCCGGAGGCCAGAGUGCACCCUCGUCUGAAGUGGGCCUGGUCCGGGGUGAGCAAAGAUCCUCAGCAGCUACGAGGGCAAGUCCAGGCAAGACCUGGGGACACGGGCUGGGACACCCCACCAGCACAGAGCCGAAGCUCCUGGGGUGGUGUCUCCUCUGCCUGGCCUUCGUCACCCCUGCGGUGGGCAUGGGACAGGGACACAAGGGGCCAGGACCUCACUGCAAGAGCCAGGAGUCCUAUCCGGCCAGGGAACUCACUCCCUUCCAGAGGGACAGCCACCCGUGUGGCAGACACAGGCAAGGGGGCGAAUCCGACCCGCACCUGCUUGGCUGAAAGCGCUCUGUCCCCGGGGGGCUUCUGGUGACAGUGCAGACCCUCUUCCACACCUCUUGGCUAGGUGACCUCAGCCAAGACCCUUAAACCGAGACCCGGCACAGCCAGGCUUCGGACUGUGGGCUAAUCCGAGUAUCUAAACCUCUCCACAGUCAGACGAGUAACAAUCUACAGGCUCUAAUACCAGCAGUCGGGGAGGCUGGGGCAGGAGGAUCACAAGUGUGACCCCAACCUGGGUCACAUAGUAAUGUAGCAAGGUCACAUUUUAGAAUUUAAAAACCAAAAGAAGGGCUGGGGAUGUGGCUCCGUCAGAAGGGCCUGGAUUCAAUUCCCAGUGCCACAAAAAUAAAAAUACAAAUGCAUAAAGCUAUGUGUCUAUAGCAGGCAGUAGUUUAAGUGCUUCCUAUGUACUGUGUUAUUCCUUAUUUUGCGGACGGAAAACUGAGGCCCAAACCUCGGGUUCGCACCGGAGCCCUCUGCAGCUGCGCACGGCCAAGUCCUCCCCCCCCCCAACCCCACCUGCACCGUCCCGAGCUGUCACUGCCUCCCGCCCCGCGGUCCAUCCGCAGGGGAGCUCAGCUUCCAGAUCGUUCUGCACUUCACCCGCCGCACGCCAAACAGACUCAAUUAGAAAAAAAAAUCUAUCGCUAAUUUGAAAGCUCUGAUUCUAUAAUUUCCUGCAGGGAAGACAUGUAAAUUGCGUGUUAUUUAACACCCUUCCACGGCAGGUGAGUUCUGCGGGGGGCAAUUAUACCCCGCUCCACUCUGCGCACAGAUUCUGACGAGGGAGGGGGAGGAGUAGGAGGGGGCCAUUGUUCCCCGGCUGGUCCCCCCAGGACUGGUCCCCGAGGGCUGGCGGGACCCCCGAGUCUGCAGGGCCAAGGAGGGCGCUGGCUUGGGGUUCACACCUCUGGCUCCUCAACCACCAGAAAACCACCCAGUGCCUCUGGUACCCCCAAACUCUUGGUACCGAGCUGUCCCCAGGUACCUCUGCCAUGGUCCUCGCCUGGGAGAUGGGGGCGCUUGCAGCCCCUAACCCAAGCUGCUAGGGGGACGGAACCCUGUAUCAAGUCUGAAACGAACAGAGGAAGGAAGGGACAAGAGCCCUGAGGUCCCGGCGCCGGGCCCUCUGUGAGGGGGACCCCACUUCUGCACUGUCUAGCUGCCCCAGCUGGGCCCUGAGCCCCAAAACCCAGCAAGAGCAGGGCGGGAGGGCGCCACCUGCUGGCCGCGUCGGGAAGCGCGCGCUCCUGGCUGAGUCCUUUGGGGAAACCUGCUGAGACCCCCAGGCCUGGGGCUGUCCGGGCUCCCCGCUGACCUCCCCCUUCCGCAGGAUGGACGCGGCUGUUGUUGUCAGAGGGUGCCCCGGGAGGCCGGGGGGAGCAGGGUCCCCGGCAGACCCACUACCCCGACUGUCUUCCUGGGGUCGCACACCACUGGGGUCCGCGAGGCCCAGCAGGCUGCAGCCCGGGUGUCAGGGAAGCUCGUCUUCUGCUCACCAGGGAGCCCGGUGAAAAAUUCCCCCCUGAACCGGUCACAGCCGCACUCCGGCCUCGGCCACAGGAGGGCAGCAGCGUCCGUUCCAUCGCGGCCCUGCAGCGGGGCCUGGCUCCCACCCGCCUCUGCCUGGGAAGGGGACCAGGGACCUGGGCAGAAUCUGGGGGGCUCCGGUCCCCUCACCCCGGAGUCCAGCCUGGCUCCUGUCACCUCCAUUGCCUGGGUGGAGGCCAAAGCCUGCGACGUGCUGGGGGCACAGGAGAGGGCUGGGCUAUUGUCCAGCUGGGCUGUGUGGCCUGAGCACAUCCCUGCCUCUCCCUGGGCCUCAGUUUCCCUGUAAAAUGUGGGUGUCGGUUCCGGUCGGAGUGACACACGGGCAGUCCACACUUUAGUUAAGUCUACGCGGAUUUUUUCAAAAGCCUUUGCACACCGGCUACUGCUCCCUGCCCACCCCGCCACGCUGACCACCUGGUGUCAGCUCGAGUUCCAGAAGGGACAAGGCGUGUUGGAACCCAGCACUUCCGAAGGAAGAGGGCGCUGGGCCCUGGAUCCCUGAUCACCACACCCCCAGGCAGAGGACGCACCCGGGGACCUGCAGAAGUCCCAGAGGACAGGGACUCCCCUCCCUUCUCUUUGAUUUUCUUCCUGAAAGAAAUUAGGCUGUGUGUUUACUGGUUUUCAAUAGCUGAAAAUAUGUCUGUGUCAUACCACCAGAGACUGUACAGAACGCAUCUGUUAAAAAAUUAAUGAGCUGAGCGCCGUGAUGCCCAGCUGUGAUCCCAGCUACUUGGGAGACUGAGGCAGGAGGAUCGCAAGCAUGGGCACCUUAGCAAGACCCUGUCUUAUUAUUAUUAUUAUUAAUAGUAGUAUAUGUUAGUGAUCCACAGAAAGACCCUCUCUUUAAAAAAAACUAAGAAGUGUUGGAGGCAGAAGUAGAGGUAAUUGCUGAGGUCCUGGGUUCAAUCUCCAGCACUCCACACACAGGAUAAUAUGAAGCUUACCACCAAGAUCCAAAGAUAGAGCAUUGCUCUUCCCUGAGUUUUUGUUUGGUUUUGGUUUUGAUUUGGGGACUUUGUUUUUGUUUUGUGAGGGGUCGUUUGUUUUCUGUUUUUGGUACUAGGGAUCGAACUCAUGACCUGGCGCUUGCCAGACAGGCACAGUACCACUGAGCUACAUCCUUGGCUUCCCUGAAUUUUGCGGUGAACAUUGUGAAAAGUACCAGCUGCGGCCAACAGCAUCCACUGGGUUCUGAUCUCAAGCAGAAAAUUUCCCAUAAGCCUCUGUAGCUAUAUUAACACCAAGUUUAAAAAAAAAAGACUUCCAUGAAAAAGCAGGUGUUGGGUAUGGCAUUGUCACCAGAUGAUGGCAGAAGGUUCGCUUUUACCAGGGAACUGUAGCACACCCACUCUCUGCACUGCCACCUCUGGGUACCCACUGUGGUUGGCACUGUUGCACUUGGUCCUCAGAUCACAGGAGUACAGUGUCGUGGGUUCGCACAGAUCCGAGACACAGUUCCCAGGCACCUCGGUCUCUCUGGUCACUUGUAGUUCCCGGUAAAGCAAAUGCCAGCCAGCCCUGGACACUCACGCCCAGAAUCCAAGCUACUUGGGAGGUGCAGCUCGGAGGCAGAACAUUUGCCUGGCUGUGCAGGAGGCGCUGGCUUCCCUCCCUGGCUACACACACGCAUGCACACACAUGCAUGCACAUGCAUACAUGCACACGUGCACAGACACACUUGCACACAUAGCGAAGGCCGUGCAGAUCGCUCCUGUACUGCACUGCUAGAGGAAGUGUAGCCGAACAUUUCCCCUCCACCCUCAUUUUGACCUGGGCAGGAGCCUGCAGCCAACUGGAGACCCAGGGACAGAAGCCGUGCGGACGCUUCUGUUGCAUUUGCCGGAAGCCACGCAUGGCUGGAAUCCAUUCAGGACAUCAAGGCAGCCACAGAAAGACUCUCACGAAAGAGAACAUCCAGAGCUGCUUCAGAAAGGGGCAAGAGGGACCGGCCAUGUGUGUAGGGAGAGAGAAGCCAGCCUGCCGACGGGGAACGUUGGGGACGAAUGGCCACGCGGCUUCCGUGGCACCGAUUUUAUACACUCACCGUGUUUGCUGGUCACACACGUACUUGGGCUUCCAGUAGUUCUGAGUGUGUCUCUUAAAAAUGGAGCAAAGUCUACAUUUAGAACGUGACCCAGUUUUUAAAAUUCAGCCUGACAGUGCCUCUGAAGCAGCGUGUGGUCCUUCCCUAGCUCCCUCAUCUCGCCAGGUUAACUCAGACGACCUUGUAUUUUCCAUUCAUUCAAUGGUCCUGCUCACGGGCUCUUCCUCGCCAUCACUGAGAUAAUUCCUCAUCUUAAUUUUGUUUUCUAAUUUCUAGUUUUGAGCAUUUAUCCUCGGGAUUUUGAGACCGAACACUUAACUAACAGUCCAAACUUAGCCAAUAUAUUUACCUUCUUUCCAAAUAACUGAAAGAAUUUUCAGGCUUUAAUUUUGAACAUCCUCUCCCAAAUUAUAUGGUAGAGUCCAAUAUUUCAGUACCGGUCUGUUUAUCCCGCCAUAAAUUAAACCUUACUAUUGUGGAGUUAAAUAGUCCAGGCUUAUUUUGCUGUCUUCCAAAUAUUUACCAGUGCCCCUUGUAUAUCUGGCAUUUCUCUCCAGAAUAAUGUUUGUCCUACCGGAAAUUUAGUACAUUUAGAGAUUUCCGGAGUGCGGGUAUUUUGAUGGUAAAAGCCUCACACCUGUGAUUCCCCUGAGUGUGUCUGGGCUUCAGCAUCACCCUGAAAGGAUACACCGAGUUCCCAUUGCCUGGCACGGUAAACUGACGGUUCUCCUGCGGCUUCCAUUGGAGACCAUGAGAGGUCAGCUGUCCACUUAAUCGCUGACCCUUUCCAUCACCUUUCCCUGAUGUUUUAACAUCUUCUCUUUUUCUCUGAUGGUCCACAGUUUUAUUCCAUGAGUCUUGACGUAAAUUCCUUUCCAUUGACCUUCCUUGGGAUUCGCUGGGGUCUUAGUGACUUUCUCAGAGCUGAGAUAAAAUUCCUGCCAUCCAAAAUGAAAAGGGAAAGGUUGAUUUAGCUCCGUUUUUAGAGGUUUCAGCGUGUGGCCAGCCGGUUCCGAGGCAGAGGGCCUGCCCAAGGACUCCACAGCGAGAAACCGUCCUCGGCGGGGCAGGCAGGGGCCAGCAGCACAGCAGCGAUGCGCCCUGCUCUCUGCCCCUGGAUUCGCUCCAGUUUACAAGUCUAGCAAUGGGUGUCACCACACGCAGGCUGGGGCUUCCCUCAUCCAAACCUUUAUCCUAGUGUCCGGCCUUCAGUGCUCAGCUCACACUCUGAUCCAGCCCGUGAGGCCCUGGGGGUCAGCUAGACCCAGACCGCAGCCACGGGACCUCCAGGCUCUGAAGCUGACCUCUACGACAGCUGCACAGAACGACCGGCCUUUGUGUCUUCUCCUCCUGGACCCCGUCGUCUCCUGGAGCUCCGACCAGCUGCGGGGCCACUCACCUCCCCGCCACGUCCUCUCUGCCGCCCAGCCUUCCCCCGGAGCUUCAAAUCCCGAGCACCACAUUUUCACUCCAAAACAGUUCUGUUCCUAACUGCCGAGUCUCUGCAGAAACUUACUCCCUACCCGUGUUCCAAAGUGUUAAAAUUUCUUUAAAAACACAGUAACAGUUCUUUUCAAUUGAUUUGAGGUCUGCAGAUGACAAUUUCAGAUCAGAAGGCUUCCAGGAUCCCUCUCCACUGGCUCUUGUUUCUGUUGGCUCUUUCUGUCUGUCUUUGCAAAGUUUUCUUUCCACUUGAGCGCCUCGCUCAUGUUCUUUGGAGCUUAUGACAUUCUAGAGACGGAUGCUGAGGGUAAAUUUCCCUGAGGAUUUACCGUGGCCGGACUUAGGGUCUGUUUCUGCCAGUGGACGGGGCGUACCAUGGCAAGGCACUAGGAGGUCAACUCUUGAGUUCCUGCCUAACCACACAGGUGAUAUCAAUUCGAACCGAAACCCUGGUGAGGGCCGACCUGCAACAUCUUCUCAAGGGAGAUUUGGUUGGUUGGUUGAUUGGCUGGUUGGUGGUUGAUAUUGGGAACUGAAACAAGGGGUGUUCUACCAAUGAACUACACACACACACACACACACACACACACCGCCAUCCAGCCUAUUUUAUUUAUUUUGCAAUGAGAUCUCACUAAAUCACUAAGCUACCCAGGCUGAGCUCAAACUUGUGGUCCUCCUGCCUCAGCCUCCCAGAGAGCUGGGAUUAAAGGUGUGUGCCUCCCUCCCUGACCCAGAUAUAUUUUCUUUUAACUCAGUGUCAAAGCCAGGGCAAGUAGGUUUCCUUUCCUUUCCUCUUCUGCAAGGUGAGUUACUUGACAUCAUCCUGACACUCUGGUCUCGUGGACCCUGGCUUUGAGGGGUCUCCUGCGACAUCCCGCUAAGCUCCGUCUGCUCCUGCACCCCACGCAGGAACCCCAGCUCCCGGUCUCUGUGGCCUCCUGCCUUGGCUUUGUUUUCAAGAUGGUUGUAUGCGAAUUCCACAAGGCAGAGACCAAAAAAAAGAUUAAGAAGGAACACAUCCAGCGGGGGAUUUACGAAAGGCAUCGAACUUCUAACCUGGUGGAGAGCCAGACACAGACAUCUCCCUGAGAACCUUCCAGAAUGUGCUUUGGCCUGUUCUUCCCUCUGAGUCCCCAGAGGGACAGAGGAGCCCCCGUCCUAGCACCUCACCUGCUUGGUCUGCACCACCUAACAACUUCAAGCACCCGGUGCCCGGUGCCUGUCGGACGGGCUCCUGAGGGUCAGGACAGGCUUUUGCUGGACACUAACAGGACACCGCCGUGAACCGUGGCUUCCACCAGCACACAGCCGCAGCAAACUGGCCUGCUUUUGCAGAGUCCCAGCGCCGCAGAACAAAAGCGUGUCUUGCCAGCUGGACUCGCCCCAGCCCGAUCCGGGCCGGGCUCUGCGGAGCCCUUACGUCAGGAGUCUGGCAGAGAGAACCCGGGCUGUCUGGCGAGGCGCAGAGCCCCAGCCCUCGUCUUUCUUAAAAUGGAACUGAUCCCGGUCCCCAGAUAUCCCCAGGUCUCGCAGGCCCCACUCAGCCUCCCAUCCACCCUCACACCUCUGACUCAGAGGGAAAAAUAAGCCACCCAACUCCUCCUCCUCUCCUCUCCGCAAGCAGCCGAGAGGUGUAAGCUUUGUUCACAGCUGAGUUAUUUCUGAUCUUGGUUCUGGCUAAAAGAAACUCGGAGGGACGGUGGCUGGGAGACGUGUGGAAGCCGUGCCAAGCCAAACUGUCUAAGCGCCUGCCUCUGAGCAGCCGGCUGGGGAGAGUGUGUUCCACUAAGAAAGAGCACCUAAGAGCACCUAGAGUGGGGGGCAGGGCUGGGGCGGGCGGGAGCGAGAGGGGUCCAGGGGUGAUGCAUGUAUACCCCGCCCCCCCCCGCCCCAAACGCAUUCACUACGCGUGGCAAACACACACACAGCGGGCAGGGAUUCAGCUCAGCGGCUCAAGCAUCUGCCUGGGAAGUGUGAGGUCGUGAGUUCGAUCCCCAGCACCAAAGGAAAGAAAGUACACACACAAAGCAGGGGAAAUCCACUUCAGCAGACAGGCAGCGAGGAAGGCCUCAGGGUGACCAUUUCGGGCAGCUUCUCAGAAUGUGGCCCCUCACACACCUUGGAGAACCAGGAAGGGCCACCCCGAAACACAGGGCCCCCGGGGUCAGUGAGGCUCAGAGCCAGAAGGUGAGCGUGAGGUCUGAGAAAAGGAUGUCAGGCCCUGCUGCCUCUGCUGGGGCCUGUGACCCCGGGAAGUCGCUGGACCUGGUGUCCACCCGCUGGAGGGACCAGAAGCCCCCCACGAGGGGCGCAGGCAAGCAGGUGGAGCUGUGAGUGUACUUCCACAAAUCACGGUGCUCGGUGAGCUCCCAGGGCCUCUGUGGGGGCCCCGGUGACCAGUGCCACGGCGUCCCUGUGUCAGCACUGGGGAGAAGAGGGGAGCAGGGAGCAGUGGAGAGGGAACCCAAGGGACAGACAGAUGAGGACGGGCCUGCAGUGCCCACAGCACAGCGCCUUGCCUUCUCCCCAAAAGUCAAGAGCAGAACUGGGAUUCGAACUCAGCUCCCGGGGCUGAACACUGCCUGCCUUCUUUGACGCUCAAACAGCAAACACUUGUUGGCAUGGAGCCAAUCCUGUGCGUGUGCGUGUGCGGGCACCUGGAUGGGAAUCGGAAAGGCCCUCGAGCUGGGGAUCCUCCCAGGCUACCACGCAAGACGGACAGUGAGGAAAUAAGGGCCCCGGGUUUCCAGCACGGGCGUCGGGGUGGACAGUGGGGCUACUUUUCUCCGUAAACUCUGCUGCCAGGACAGAGGGAGGGGCAGGGGGGACCUCUUCAGAAGCCACACGGCAUGGAGGGAGCGGGCAACAGGCACUCUGAGCUGGAGGCGGGAAGCCGGCCAUCAGCAGAGGGGGAGGACAGCGCACUGGGACACCGCUGGACCCCGUCCCCAGUCCCAGGAGUCAGGGGGCUGCACUGUGCCAAAGGUGGGUGGGGCUGAUGGGCCACUUCUGGAGCUGAGCCGGGAGAUGAGUGUGCGUAACACCAGCACCCUGGGAGGCCGAGGCAGGAGGGUUGCAAGUUUGGGUAGCACCUGGGCAAUACAGUGACUUAGUGAGAGGACUAAAAUAAAAAGCACAAACAGGCUGGGGAUGGAGCGGAGCGCGGCCCUGGGAUCGAUCCUGCAAGAUGGAAAAGGAGGAGGAACAGGAGGAGACGUCACCGCAUCUGCUCACCGCCUCUGAGCAAUCCCCCCAGUGACUCCGCGACCCUCCCACCACUCCAGACAGGGCUGUGGGACCAAGGAGCCCUGCCCAGGGGACACUGAGAACCUUUGCACCCACACCCACCCAGGUCCUGCGCUGUCCCCGGGAGCCUGGCCAGCCCAGGACCCAGGUCUUCGCACACAGGCAUGCGCUGCCCAACAAAGCCUCUGGCUACCGGGCCCGACUCAAGCCAGGAGACCCUGGGCUCUUGCACCAUAGGGACAGACACCCAGCACUAUUAGGAUGGGAGGGGAGUCAUGCGUGUGGCCCCAGAGCCGGAAGAAAUGCCAUGUGGACCGCACUGACUAUUUCGGGUGGAAUCAAGAAAAAGCACAAUGUUUCAAAAUGCUGAAGAAAAAGCAUUUCCAGCCAGAUCUCUCCGUCUGGCCAAGCCAUCCAUCACACUCGAGGAUAAAGUGAAUAUUUUUAGACAGAAAAAGGCUUCGAGCGCCGUCUCUCGCCCUUCUCUGUUCCCCACGCAGGAACCCGCUUCCCUGCUGACCGUGACGUGGGUCAGCCCCGGCUCUCACCUGUAAGCUCCUGUCCACUCCGUGGUCCUCUCCAUGCCCCAUUUCCACCUUUUGGGGCAUCAUGCUGGCCACCUUGCUGGUUUGAGUGACCGCAAGUGCAAGAUAAGGGCUGUCACUCCUCCUGGGCGAAGGUGUGGGAACACAGAGCGGGAGUCACACCAAGUGUCACUUGGGCUGGACUCACGGCAGCCAAGACCACGAGUUCAGGUCAGCGAGGCGACAGCGUACAUCAGGGUGACUUUCAAGACAGACACACAGCAUGGGCUGCACUUUCCCUGGGCCCUCCACUCCCAGGAGAUGAGAAGAGGACACUGCCCCUCAGGAUGACGGAGGAGAUGCCCAGAGGGGAGGCCCAGGCGGGGCACUUGCCUGCCACACACAAAGCCUUUGGUGCCAUCCCCAGCACAAGGGAGAGAGAAGACAGGAAGAUGGAGCCACAGGGAACAGAAGAGAAACCCAGGGGCCCUAGGACAGCAGCCACCCCCGCCUGGGGCCUGGCAUAGGAAGACCUGGUCACCCCAAGUCCUCCCCGGAAAGUUCAGGGCAGAGUGAGCCUCUGCUCUCCAGGGAACCCAGCAGGGGAGAAAGGGGAGCGUUAGCUGGGAGUGGGCAGCACCGGGCUGGGCAGUGGCCGCUGGCACAGGUGACGAGGACCUUUCCCUGGCUGUAGGCAGGUGGGUGGGCCAAACAAGACCAGGCAGUGCCUCCUCCAGGGGCCACAGUCAGACCACGAGGGCAGGACAGUCCCCAUGUGGCUCUCAGCACAGAAACCAAAGUCAUUAAAGGUGAGAGGCCACGGGGAGGGAGCCGGGAACCAGUAUUUUUCUUAACAAAUUUUGGAGAACUGUCUGGCUGUAUGAGUUGGAUUAAGCUAAAACUGAAGAAACUAAAUAACCAAACUUCCCUGAUCCUGAGCUCAGCCUGCCAGUUAGGGGCCGAGAAGCCCGGCGAGGAGACAGGCACUGCGGUCUCCCUCACCCGGAGCCUCUGCCUUUGACCAGGAGGCAGCCCUCACCCUCAGCCGCCUGGGGAGGUUGUGGCCCAGAUUGGCUGAAGGUGCCGGCAGGGGCUGCCUGUCCGAGACCCCAUCUGCAGCAACCCUCCUGCUCCCAGGUUGGGGGGGCCACUGGGACUGACGUUCGCUGUCAGUUUGCAAAUGAGGGGACCCUCCCAGGGCCACUCUGCCACCCUCCUCCUCCUGCUCCUCGCACAGGAUGAUGAUAGGGCACUGAGGCCUUGGGUUCUCAGGAGAUCCAGCACCUGAGGUCACAGAGACAAAGCAGAACCCUUGGGACAGGAUGGGAUGGGGGAGCAGGGGGUGCGGGCCCAUCUCAACCCCACACCGUUGUUCCCACCCCAGGCCAGAUGCGACUCCCGGCAUCUCACCCCUGGCUUCCCCCACCUGCUGACUGCUGUGGGUGGCAGUUUAUACCGAAGACUCCCCAUGACGGACCCCUGAACAGGCCAUCUGCGACUACCCGUUGGACACCCCUGCCUACAAAGCACCCCUCCCCUCCCCUCUCCUGCACAGCGGCAGACUCGGCCACCAAAGUGCAGCUGACAGGAGACGACCCUGACCCUAAGAGGCACACACGUCCCCCUCCCAUCCCACACCCCAAAUCCUCCAGCCCAAGCAGAUGCCCCCCAUUGGAACUCAGCUCCUCGCCUUCCUCAUGGGGCUCUCUGGGGGCCAGAUGCAUCAUGCAUAUUUUGGGGAACAAAAGGAUGAGAAAUCCAAGGAGUAUUUUGAGAAACACAAGCAAUCAGAUGUUAAAAAAUAGCUGAUUACGUGCCUGGCAAAACAGAUCAGCAGACAGGAACCGGCCGGCGUGGGGGCAGAGAGCUGUUCGGGGAGAGAACCUCAUCUGGGUCCCCGUGUGGCACAGGGAAGCAGGAGGAGCAGCAGGAAAGAAAUGGGUUUGGACUCGAUCUUUGCAUCUUUCAAAUGGACUGAAAAAGACAUUAUUCAUAAUGCAAAGUAAAUCCUAGAAAGAUGGGCCAAACAUAUAAGUGAACAGAGACCAGCUCGCUGGAGGAGCGGAAUAUUUUCCAGCUUUAAAAUCACCGAGGCUGUUUAUUUAUUUUAGGGGAAAGGAGAACGGCUUUGACUACAUAAAAACUGAAAAUCUUCGGUACCACAGACAAAAUUAACCAGACUGGCGGCAGGAGAAAGGGUUAACAUCCAUAACCCAGGAACCCUGAUAGAAAAGCCUUAAACCAACAAGGUUUUUAUUUUCUUUUACUUUUUUUGGAACUUGACAAAAAUGAUACCAAAUUUCAUCUGGAAAAAUAAACUUCUGAGAGCAGCCAGGGAAAUUAUAAGGAAAAACAAAAAGUCCUGAAAGAGAGCUGGUCUGGCCAGAUGUCAGGACGUCGCAGGGAAGUCCAGCAGUUUUUAGGCCUGGCGGUGUCGGCUGAGUGGGAGCCCCUGCAAGCAGGCCGGGGUGCAGAGAUGGAGGGAACGGAAGUGGAAAUUCAGCACAUAACUGAGAAGAGGCACGUCCUACUGCGGGAGAAACCCGCAUUGUUCAGAGCGCGCGGUGAGAUAACCGAAGUCAGCCACCUGGAAAGCAUAAAGUGGGAUUCCUGCCUCACCCUCACACCCAAAUUCACUCCAGAUGGGCCUGACAUUUAAACCAAAAACAUGAGCUUAAAAAUUAUUUUAAAAGGUGAAUUUAUAAGCCUGGCAAAGAAAGCUCUUUCUAAGCGGGACACAGGGUCCAGAAGCCAAGGUAAAAGUUCCCUGGGAGAAGAAAAUGGGUUAGAGACAGAAACAGCUUGAAAAAGAUGAGACUCGAGUCCCCUGUGGUCUAUGACAGUCCUUCUUCACCCAAAAUAAUCCAGAGCUGUUACCUCGAGGCUCAGGCAGGUCCACCCCCGGCCCCAGUGUGCAUGGAGAACGGACCGAACCCCAUGCUGGUGCCCAGCGGCCAGCAGCUCACCGGGAGUGCGCCCAGAAAGUCCGUGUCCACCAGAGACUUGCUCCAGGUGGCCAGGAGCGAAAGCGCUGCAGAUAAACCAGGUUUCUGGACUUUGAGGACUCUGCGCCCAACCCAGGGGUCCCCCAGUUUCUGAGGGUGACAGACAGGAGUCAUUGACAGGGUGUUGGGGCCUCUCGGGGGCUCUCAACACGCGUGCAAGUCCCAGAAUCCUCUCCCAUCUUAAUCAGAUGCGGCCACAUCAUGCAUAUUCAUGAACCUUAACGAGGCAGGAGUGGAGUCAGGGCGUUAAAAGGUCAGGCAAGGGGGUCCCAGAGCAUGAGAUCUCCCCUCGGACCUCGCAAGGGGCAGGGCCCUCAGGUGCUGUUUAAAUUACAGAUAGGGCCAGGGAUACGGCUCAGUAGCACAAGCGCCUGCCUGGCGGGUGCAAGGUCCUGAGUUCGACUCCCGGUACCAAAACAAAAAUUAACCGGGCAGAAGAGUGUGGUUUUCUCGCUCUAUUUUUCUAGCUGUUUUAUUAAGUCAGUGGUGAUGGGACAGAGUCCUAGGAGAAAUGUAAGUUUAGAUCCAACUUAUACUGAACAGUAAUGAUGUCACAAGCAAAUAAAGUCCUCGAAGGGCUGGCUAAUCUGUAAAGAAAUACUGACCGGAUCGCUGCAGAGAUGAAACUCUUCUAAGCUGAAAACAGAGAAAAUCAAAAGUUGGAAAUGAGAGGGAUUUAACUGUUUAAAACAUAUCUUCCACAUUUUUAAAAAAUAAAAUUCGACCUUAAAAAUUUUGACCACAUAAAAUCCUUAAAGUACUAAGUGGAAAAAUACAAUAUAAAAAAGCCAAAGCAAAACCUGGAGAGGGACCAACAUGCUGUAAGAUUAAUUGUUUUAAUUUAGAAAAUGUUCAUAGGAGUAAGAAAAAAAGAUUUCAAAUCUAACAAGUUGACAAUUUUUUUUACUGUAUGUGAAAAGGAGAUUGUCCAGAAAGUUAAAAAGGAAACACACAGAAACAAUUCAAUCUGGCUCAUAUUUAAGAAAUGUAAGCUGCUGGGUACCUUUUUUAACCUGUCAAUUUGCCAAGAUUCACAAAGCUUUCCCUAAACCAGCAAAAUCACAGAGAAACACAAAAACUGCUCAAAAUCUUUAGGCUUGAAAACACUACAAGUGUGUGGAGAAACAGCUGUUCUCAGACAUUGUUGGUGGGCGUGUCAUUUUGCUUACUCUGCGAUUUUUUUGUUUGUUUGUUUUUAUCUGACCAGGGAUCAAACUCAGGACUGCCUGCUUGCAAGGCAGGCACUUAUGCUGCUGAGCUAAAUCCCCAGCCCCCUACUCUGUGAUUUUUGAUGACUGUAUAAUGCUCCAUGUUCAUGGGUGGCAACAUACACUGAAUCAGUCCCGUUCAUAGACAUUUAGGGUUUCUUUUUAAAAACUUGUCUUCAUUUGAAAAGCGGUACUCCCAGGACAUACCUGGACACGCUUUUGCAUGCGUGUAGAACUUUGUAACUCCCGCACGUCUUGCCACUUCUAUUUUGAGACAGUCUCACUAAGUUGCCCAGGCUGGCCGAGUGCUCACAAUCCCCCUGCCUCAGCCUCCUCAGCGCUGGGGUGACAGGUGAGAGCUACCACAGCCGGCUUUGAAACACAGUUUUCAAAGAGGACGGCAAGUGGGGAAUAAGAUGCAGGAACAGCAAUGGGGUGGAACUGCAGGUUGUGCUGUAGAUAGAACUGAGGCCUUUGCCACCAACCUGCCGAGAGACUCUAGCACCACCUCAGCCCUCUUAGUAGGCCUCAGUUUCCCCAAAGGAAAAAAAAGGAAGGAAAGUUCUUGUUCUUAAAGCCAUUGACUGAAUGACACAGCAGAAAGAAUCGGCCUCACCCCGUGUCCUGGGGCACAGAUGGGUGUUGGUGCUGCCGACGCUUCCCUCCCACGCCGCCACAUCAGAAGCCCAGCUGCCCAGCCCAAGCAGCCGGAGCUCCCGGCUCAGCCCAGGCGGAGGCCAAGGAGGCCAGGAAGCCAAUAUCUGCUCUGUGCAGAGCGCGCUGUCCCUCUGCCAGGAGGCAGCUUGGACCCAGGCCUGCCUUUCCUGAUGUCUUACACAUGGGACAUUCAGCAUUGACCUGCUCGGAGCCCCCCAGUGCCUGGGGAAAGCAGGGGGAACCCCCUUGACUGAUUCCACCCUCGGGGCUCCAGGCUCCGCGCCCACCUCCUGCCGCAGUCUGGCCAGACACACAGUCUCCGCUCCCGCAAGCCGAGCUUUGAAUAUCGUCUUUUCUGGGGUUCCCCUCUGCCCGGCCUCCGCUCACCUGCGGUCCUGGAGCCCAUUUCUAAUGACUUCCUGUGCCGAGAGCGUGUGAGCCCUCGGCCACGCUCCAGAAUGUGUGAGUGAGCGGGAAUCAAAGGGCACGGGGUCCCGACGGGACGUGCAGGAGCCUGCAUCAAAGCGUUGCAGCUGGGAGACUCGGAGAGAAGCGGACAGGAAGUGAACACGCACACCUAAAGCUAUGCAGAGGCCCCCCUGAAUCAGCCCAUUCUUUCAUUAUGUGAAACUGAUGAAGGCCUCGCAGAGCCCCUGCUCAGGAACAGGGCCCUUAAAUAAAACAUGUUUCAUUGAUCAA
Molecule: long non-coding RNA, 27048 nt
Organism: Cavia porcellus (domestic guinea pig)
Lineage: Eukaryota; Metazoa; Chordata; Mammalia; Rodentia; Caviidae
Exons: 2
Source: RefSeq, a predicted model, not a curated record